Long non-coding RNA from Alosa sapidissima (American shad), 1333 nucleotides. RefSeq lists it as uncharacterized. NCBI's taxonomy places the organism in Eukaryota, Metazoa, Chordata, Actinopteri, Clupeiformes, Clupeidae. The transcript has 2 exons. The record is from RefSeq and is a predicted model, not a curated record.
CCCGAGACUUUGGUGAUGCAUCCAAAACAGUUGAAAACGAGCGUAAGAUGAAGACCUUUUUGGCCCUGUGUCUCAUCACCACACUGGUUGUGAUUGUCAGUGCGGAGCUCCAUGAUGACCACCAUGACAACAACACCAUUGUUGUGAUGCUAGAAAAGAAAGUCAAUCCACUGCCUUGCAUGAAGAACCUUGAUAAUAACGCUUACAACAAAUUCAAUAAAAAACACAUUCUUGAUUCUAAUUUCGAUAUUGCUGACAAAAUAGAAUGGAGCAAGUACCUGGAUGAAAAAGGACUCUGUGGGAGAGUCCCUGUCCAGUCUUUUUUCCAAAGAAAUGAUGAAGAAAAAGUCAAGUACAUCUGCAAGGGCCAAGGUUUUGUCUAUAAAGAUAACCUCUGUGUUAGUCAGGUAACCUUUACAGUUUUUCAUGUCACAAGCGACGCUACGCUGUGUAGGGUGACUGAGGUUGUACCAAAAGAGCAAAAGGUCAUGCUGGCCUGUGAUACCAUUGGAAAUGUUGAGUGUCUACCUGUUCACUAUGAGAAAUACAAUGGCCAGGAUCAUGGACCCCAUAAAUGCCAGCAAAUGCUAGCAAAUGCCAGUCCUCUGUUUGCAAUCCCAUUUUUAGACUUGAUAAAGAUUGUCUCCAUCAUUUUUAUUUUGACCUAGAGCCCUUUAUUUUUAAUACCAGGUGAUGUUUGCAUUUACUGGCUGUCAUACACAUUCAGUUUGUUAUUACUUGUAAAAUAAACCUAUUUCAGUUAGUGUUGCAUUUCAUCUUGUGUCGUGUUAUUAACCUUCCCUGAUUUUGGCUCCUACCAACAUCUUUUUUUACCUCUGAUAACAACAAUAAAUUCAGUGUGUCAUAGCUUUGUAUCUCCAGCUUAUACCAUGGCAGGCUGUAAACAGAUAAUCAUGAGUGGGGUAUUCUCCUAAAUCUGCAGGGGUUAUGUGUUAUAAAUUAUCUAAAUAAAAAUAAAAUAGCAAUGUAUUGGUAAAAAAAAUGUCCUAAAAAUUAAAUUGUCCUAAAAUUGUUGAGAAUUGUCAUGUCGCUUUUGGCUAAAAAUGUGUCAGCCAAAUGUAUAAUGUAAUGUAAAUUGUGGCUAUAGAAUCAAACAUCCAGGUUGCAUACAUCAUACAAUUUCUAUGCAUUGUUCAUGCUGUGUGUGUAGUCAUGGCUUUAACAUUAUUAUGUUUUUAUUACAUUUUAUGUUUGUUAUUACAUUGCUUAACUGGUUCAUGUUUUGCUUCAUCUGACUAUUUCUACAAAGAUUCCACAACUAAACAAUGGCAAUUAGGGCCUACCAGAGAUCAAUAAAGCAAAUACAAUCUGA